This 628-nucleotide ribosomal RNA is filed under the name uncultured bacterium. Its description in RNAcentral is "bacterial SSU rRNA". The stretch from base 1 to 542 matches the Rfam family "Bacterial small subunit ribosomal RNA", at positions 338 to 873 of the family's 1533-position model. The record is from RNAcentral.
CCUACGGGAGGCAGCAGUGGGGAAUUUUGGACAAUGGGCGCAAGCCUGAUCCAGCAAUGCCGCGUGCAGGAUGAAGGCCUUCGGGUUGUAAACUGCUUUUGUACGGAGCGAAACGGUCUGCUUUAAUACAGUAGGCUAAUGACGGUACCGUAAGAAUAAGCACCGGCUAACUACGUGCCAGCAGCCGCGGUAAUACGUAGGGUGCGAGCGUUAAUCGGAAUUACUGGGCGUAAAGCGUGCGCAGGCGGUUAUAUAAGACAGAUGUGAAAUCCCCGGGCUCAACCUGGGACCUGCAUUUGUGACUGUAUAGCUAGAGUACGGUAGAGGGGGAUGGAAUUCCGCGUGUAGCAGUGAAAUGCGUAGAUAUGCGGAGGAACACCGAUGGCGAAGGCAAUCCCCUGGACCUGUACUGACGCUCAUGCACGAAAGCGUGGGGAGCAAACAGGAUUAGAUACCCUGGUAGUCCACGCCCUAAACGAUGUACACUGGUUGUUGGUCUUCACUGACUCAGUAACGAAGCUAACGCGUAGAAGUUGACCGCCGUGGGGAGGUACGGCCGCGAGUAGAACGUACGAAGUAGAGUUAGACGGACGUGAGACGNGCCGACGGACGACGACGAGGGAGGAGG